ACUCCUACGGGAGGCAGCAGUGGGGAAUAUUGCGCAAUGGGCGAAAGCCUGACGCAGCAACGCCGUGUGAGGGAUGAAGGCUUUCGGGUCGUAAACCUCUGUCGGAAGGGAGGAACGGGCAUUGGUCUAAUAGGCCUUUGUUUUGACGGUACCUUUAGAGGAAGCACCGGCUAACUCCGUGCCAGCAGCCGCGGUAAUACGGAGGGUGCAGGCGUUAUUCGGAAUUACUGGGCGUAAAGCGCACGUAGGCCGCUUUGUAAGUCAGGGGUGAAAUCCCACGGCUCAACCGUGGAACUGCCCUUGAAACUGCAGAGCUUGAAUCCUGGAGAGGGUGGCGGAAUUCCUGGUGUAGGAGUGAAAUCCGUAGAUAUCAGGAGGAACACCGGUGGCGAAGGCGGCCACCUGGACAGGCAUUGACGCUGAGGUGCGAAAGUGUGGGGAGCAAACAGGAUUAGAUACCCUGGUAGUC
RNAcentral lists this ribosomal RNA (469 nucleotides) under uncultured bacterium. Its description in RNAcentral is "bacterial SSU rRNA". It matches the Rfam family "Bacterial small subunit ribosomal RNA", at positions 335 to 795 of the family's 1533-position model. The record is from RNAcentral.